GACGAACGCUGGCGGCGUGCUUAACACAUGCAAGUCGAACGGAAAGGCCCUGCUUUUAGGGUGCUCGCGUGGCGAACGGGUGUGUAACACAUGGGUGAUCUGCCCUCCUCUUCGUGAUAUGCCUGUGCGACUGUGUCUAAUACCUGAUAGAAGCCAUUUUUCGUCUUAUGGUUGGAUAGUUUUUUCGGUGUAGGAUGAGCUCGCGGCCUGUCAGCUUGCUGGUUGGGUUAUGGGCUACCAAGGCGGCGUCGGGUAGCCGGCCUGCGGGGGAGGACGGCCACAAUGGGAACGAGAGAAGGCCCAGACACCUAAGGGAGGGAGCAGGGGGGAAGAGUGGACAAUGGGCGCAAGGCUGAUGGAGCGACGCCGCGGGGCGGAAGACGGCCUUCGGGGUGUAAACUCCUUUCGGUAGGGAAGAAGCAUUGUGUGACGGUACCUAGAAAAGAAGCACCGGCUAACUACGUG
Molecule: ribosomal RNA, 465 nt
Filed under: uncultured bacterium
Lineage: Bacteria
Description: partial 16S ribosomal RNA
Rfam family: Bacterial small subunit ribosomal RNA
Source: RNAcentral